GCCGAAAUGGCGGAACAGGCAGACGCAAAGGACUUAAAAUCCUUCGGAGAUCCUAUCUCCGUGCCGGUUCAAAUCCGGCUUUCGGCACCA
This 90-nucleotide transfer RNA is filed under the name Clostridiales bacterium. Its description in RNAcentral is "tRNA-Leu". It matches the Rfam family "tRNA". Rfam says of the family: Transfer RNA (tRNA) molecules are approximately 80 nucleotides in length. Their secondary structure includes four short double-helical elements and three loops (D, anti-codon, and T loops). Lineage: Bacteria; Bacillati; Bacillota; Clostridia; Eubacteriales. The record is from RNAcentral.